GGUGAACGCUGGCGGUAGGCCUAACACAUGCAAGUCGAACGGCAGCACAGUAAGAGCCUGCUCUUACGGGUGGCGAGUGGCGGACGGGUGAGGAAUACAUCGGAAUCUACUUUUUCGUGGGGGAUAACGUAGGGAAACUUACGCUAAUACCGCAUACGACCUACGGGUGAAAGCAGGGGAUCUUCGGACCUUGCGCGAUUGAAUGAGCCGAUGUCGGAUUAGCUAGUUGGCGGGGUAAAGGCCCACCAAGGCGACGAUCCGUAGCUGGUCUGAGAGGAUGAUCAGCCACACUGGAACUGAGACACGGUCCAGACUCCUACGGGAGGCAGCAGUGGGGAAUCUUGGACAAUGGGCGCAAGCCUGAUCCAGCCAUACCGCGUGAGUGAAGAAGGCCUUCGGGUUGUAAAGCCCUUUUGUUGGGAAAGAAAAGCAGCAGGUUAAUACCCCGCUGUUCUGACGGUACCCAAAGAAUAAGCACCGGCUAACUUCGUG
This 492-nucleotide ribosomal RNA is filed under the name uncultured bacterium. RNAcentral's name for it is "partial 16S ribosomal RNA". It matches the Rfam family "Bacterial small subunit ribosomal RNA", at positions 28 to 507 of the family's 1533-position model. The record is from RNAcentral.